Long non-coding RNA from Pezoporus flaviventris, 1685 nucleotides. RefSeq lists it as uncharacterized. The record is from RefSeq and is a predicted model, not a curated record. The transcript has 2 exons. Lineage: Eukaryota; Metazoa; Chordata; Aves; Psittaciformes; Psittacidae.
UGCUGGGCAUCUCCAAAAAUUUGCAGGGAACAAAAACAAAAGCUAAAUUAAACCAUUUCUUAUACUCCUAGGAAAGAGACAUAAUGGAAAGGACCAUCUGUCCUUUUUCUCUGUGAAAGUUAGAUGAUGUAACCAGGCUGGUAUCUCCCAAAAUAACAGAUUCUGGGUUUAAUUCAUAAGUCCACCUCAAAUGUUUUUGAGGCUGGCAGUGAAAGACACCUUGCUGAAGACACUUUUUAACUUCCUAGACCCACUGGACCAAAAUGAAGGCGUCCCUUGCAGGAAUAUGAGUAGGGUAUCUCCCAUGGUUUGCUUAGUGAUUGCAUUACCCAGAGAAUGGCUAUCAAAUACGUUUGAGCAGGGCAACCUGAAGAAAAAUAGUGCUUACAUACUGGUUGGAUGCUGUAGCAAGUUGGUUAAUAAGCAGGUCUGGAAGUAAGAAAGUUUGGAUGAAACAUAGCUCUUUACGUGUAUGAGAAGAUAUAUUAAAUACAAAUUUAUGCAUAUAUAAAUUAGGCAAUGCUUUACUAAACUUUUCCUUUCUGAGGAACAGCAAAACAGAAUUCAGAAGUGCAAGAUAAGUUUGGUGUCCAAUCUUUAAGCAGCUUUUAAGAGAGGUGCUGAAGACCGACUGCAGAUGGCUGGAGCAGGAAGAGGAAUGGGAGGGUGAAAUGCUACUCUUUGCCUAUCUGUCCGUAAGAAGGAAGCAAAGCAACAUCUCACUGUGGCCAGUUCUGUGCGAACAGGGAAAGUGGUGCAAGAGGAAUGGAGACUUCAUGGAGACCUCUGUAGGAUCAGCUUUCAGAAAGAGUUAAGUCCUAUGUCGAGCCUUCAGCAGUGUAAAGGUUCUGAGACUCUGUACUUAGGAAAGCAGAUGAAUUUGGCAUUUCUCAGCAUUUUUAAGAAAUAUUUGUUCAAGAAAUUGUAAUCUCUCAAUAUCUUGAGAAAUUGGGACCCAGUCCAGUUUCCGCAUUCUGCAUCAACCUCACCUUCAAGACCCUGGUUGGCUUCUGAAAAAUCUCUCAAAUUUUUUAAAGUAUUUUUCAGCAGAGGAUUUAUUUCAAAGGUUACCGCCACAGCUGUCAAAUAGCAGUGACAAAAUGUAGUUUUGAGCUUUUAUUACUUGUGUGUGCAUUUGCAUUUCUCCUUAAUUGCAGCAAAACAGAUGUCACUUUUUUUCAGAGUGAGAAAAAACAGAAGGGUCCUAAAUAUUUUCCUACAGUAAUGGUGAUUUGAACAUGAUAUCAUUUUCCUAGCAUAUGAAAUGCAGACAGUGAGAUGAUUGAUAAUCCUUUUUUUAUUCAAUAGUGGUGAUUGCAAAAAUGAGUAUAAGCCUCAAAUUAAUAGCAAAGGCUGUCAGUAUCACUGGUUAUAUCCAGUUAAUUUUUAAAACAUUGAAGGGAAAUUGUUCACUUAUUCUAUGUAGAUUGAAAAAAAAAUAAUCUGUAGAAGGUUAUAAUCUUAUUUACCAUCAAAGACUGGAGGAGGAGCAGUAAAGGAAGGUCUUGUGUAAAUCAAUACGGACAUUGAUACAUUUGUUUUCUGAUUAAAUAGACUUUUCAUUUGGAAGAGCUAUAGUGCACAAAACAAAAGAGAAAUACUGAUGAAAGUAAAGUUGUUUCAAAACUUUAUUAUUUGGGGGGGAUAUGGUGUAUAUUAAUCUAAUAAAUGGAACCAAACCAAAA